RNAcentral lists this ribosomal RNA (450 nucleotides) under uncultured Leptolinea sp. RNAcentral describes it as "bacterial SSU rRNA". It matches the Rfam family "Bacterial small subunit ribosomal RNA", at positions 920 to 1382 of the family's 1533-position model. Lineage: Bacteria; Bacillati; Chloroflexota; Anaerolineae; Anaerolineales; Anaerolineaceae. The record is from RNAcentral.
CCCGCACAAGCGGUGGAGCAUGUGGUUUAAUUCGAGGCUACACGAAGAACCUUACCAGGGUUUGACAUGCAAGUGGUAGGAAUCCGAAAGGUGACCGACCCUUCGGGGAGCUUGCACAGGUGCUGCAUGGCUGUCGUCAGCUCGUGUCGUGAGAUGUUCGGUUAAGUCCGCUAACGAGCGCAACCCUCGUCGUGUGUUAUACGUGUCACACGAUACUGCCGGUAUCAAGCCGGAGGAAGGUGGGGAUGAUGUCAAGUCAGCAUGGCCUUUAUAUCCUGGGCUACACACACGCUACAAUGGCAGAUACAAUAGGUUGCGAAGCCGCGAGGUGGAGCCAAUCCUCAAAGUCUGUCUCAGUUCAGAUUGUAGGCUGCAACUCGCCUGCAUGAAGUUGGAGUUAGCUAGUAAACGCAGGUCAGCUAUACUGCGUUGAAUACGUUCCCGGGGUUU